AAAGUCAAGGAGACUUCAAAGAUGAGAAAUGAUUGCACUGGGCCUUAGAGAGGAAGUUCAGCAGAACAAGGUGGGAAGGGCACGAUAUCAGAGUAAGAGGCACUGAUGGUGAACAAAUAUAGAGACUGGAAUCCAGUGACGUCACACAGGCGCUCUGGAAGCCAGUGAUGCAGUAUCAGAAUCUGGGAACACAAUGAGGCAAUGUUUCAGCUGCUUGUGCAUUCUUCACCUCCCAUUGUCUCUGUCUCUCUCUUUCUCCUCUGCUUCCCCUCACCCCACAACCAAAGUCAAGAGCGCAGACCCCAUGAUCACCUGAUACUUCCAAGCAAGCAGGUGUUCUUUUCAGAAGCCAGAAGCUGAUAACCUGGGCUUUCUGAUCUAACCCCAGCCCAAAUUCAUUGCAAUGGAGGAAUUGGGGAGGAGAUUCUUCCUACUGAGAAGUGGGUGCCAACUCUCCCUUUCAAAUUUGUUCAUCAACAAACUAAAGGGGAUGCCAGAAAUGUCUGGAGCAAUGGAAGAACCACUGGAAUAAUGCUCCUGCCUGAUUGUAUCUACUUAACCCACUCUCCAAGAGCCAGAAUCAGAUUUCAACCGUAUGGAAUCAUCUACAAUGCAGCAGAUGGGUUUACAAGUCUCUUGGUCUCUUCAUGAAGAAGGCGCAGCAAUCGUGUCCCAAGUCCUUGAGGACUUCACAGGGUGUUCUAGUGUCCUGAGAAUAUACCUGCCUAAGGAAUUUGGCUAUAGCUGGUAUUGGGUUCCUCAAACCAGCCCACCUGCGCUAUGGGAAUGUCAAAAUUGUCCUGGCAAGCUGAGGGGGCAUCCAGAGGUCACCCAGCUUUCCCCUGAAGCGUUGCUCAGAGGCCACUGUACCAUAAAAGGGAGUUCCCAUCCCACACUGGUUCUGAAAGCCCUGGUGUCCAGGCCCGUGUUGUGAUCUUUUCUCCUCUGCCUAGGGCGUAUCUGUUAGGGAGACUCCCAUGAGGGAGGGGAGCCGAGGGAAGAGGCUGAGUGAGGUGAAGAGAGUGUGUUUGUCCCUCCAGCUGUGCCAGGGUCUUCUCAGCCCUUCUCACAGAGGGCUGUCUGUGGACCUCUGUUCCUGGAAUCACCCCUCUGCACCACCCAAACUCCCUGAUUAUGAAUUACACAAUACAUCCCUAAUUCAA
Molecule: long non-coding RNA, 1163 nt
Filed under: Homo sapiens (human)
Lineage: Eukaryota; Metazoa; Chordata; Mammalia; Primates; Hominidae
Description: long intergenic non-protein coding RNA 2443
Source: RNAcentral